This 71-nucleotide transfer RNA is filed under the name Camelus bactrianus (Bactrian camel). It matches the Rfam family "tRNA". From Rfam's summary of the family: Transfer RNA (tRNA) molecules are approximately 80 nucleotides in length. Their secondary structure includes four short double-helical elements and three loops (D, anti-codon, and T loops). Further hydrogen bonds mediate the characteristic L-shaped molecular structure. tRNAs have two regions of fundamental functional importance: the anti-codon, which is responsible for specific mRNA codon recognition, and the 3' end, to which the tRNAs corresponding amino acid is attached (by aminoacyl-tRNA synthetases). tRNAs cope with the degeneracy of the genetic code in two manners: having more than one tRNA (with a specific anti-codon) for a particular amino acid; and 'wobble' base-pairing, i.e. permitting non-standard base-pairing at the 3rd anti-codon position. RNAcentral also lists the same sequence under 2 other names. Lineage: Eukaryota; Metazoa; Chordata; Mammalia; Artiodactyla; Camelidae. The record is from Rfam by way of RNAcentral.
GGGGGGAUAGCUCAGUGGUAGAGUGUGUGCUUAGCAUGCAAGAGGUCCUGGGUUCAAUCCCAGUACCUCCA